Molecule: ribosomal RNA, 465 nt
Filed under: Vreelandella stevensii
Lineage: Bacteria; Pseudomonadati; Pseudomonadota; Gammaproteobacteria; Oceanospirillales; Halomonadaceae
Description: partial 16S ribosomal RNA
Rfam family: Bacterial small subunit ribosomal RNA
Source: RNAcentral
CCUACGGGCGGCUGCAGUGGGGAAUAUUGGACAAUGGGCGAAAGCCUGAUCCAGCCAUGCCGCGUGUGUGAAGAAGGCCUUCGGGUUGUAAAGCACUUUCAGUGGGGAAGAAAGCCUUGGGGCUAAUACCCUCGAGGAAGGACAUCACCCACAGAAGAAGCACCGGCUAACUCCGUGCCAGCAGCCGCGGUAAUACGGAGGGUGCGAGCGUUAAUCGGAAUUACUGGGCGUAAAGCGCGCGUAGGCGGUCUGAUAAGCCGGUUGUGAAAGCCCCGGGCUCAACCUGGGAACGGCAUCCGGAACUGUCAGGCUAGAGUGCAGGAGAGGAAGGUAGAAUUCCCGGUGUAGCGGUGAAGUGCGUAGAGAUCGGGAGGAAUACCAGUGGCGAAGGCGGCCUUCUGGACUGACACUGACGCUGAGGUGCGAAAGCGUGGGUAGCAAACAGGAUUAGAUACCCGUGUAGUC